Molecule: unclassified non-coding RNA, 334 nt
Filed under: soil metagenome
Description: partial contains 5.8S ribosomal RNA, internal transcribed spacer 2, and large subunit ribosomal RNA
Rfam family: 5.8S ribosomal RNA (bases 4-119)
Source: RNAcentral
GAUAAGAACGCAGCGAAAUGCGAUAAGUAGUGUGAAUUGCAGAAUUCAGUGAAUCAUCGAAUCUUUGAACGCACAUUGCGCCCGCUAGUAUUCUAGCGGGCAUGCCUGUUCGAGCGUCAUUUCAACCAUCAAGCCCCAGGCUUGUGUUGGAGCCCUGCGGCCGUCCGCAGCCUCCUAAAAUCAGUGGCGGGCUCGCUAUCACACCGAGUGCAGUAGUUUACUCUUCGCUCAGGACGUGUAGCGGGUUCCGGCCGUGAAACCCCCCAAUUUUCAAGGUUGACCUCGGAUCAGGUAGGAAUACCCGCUGAACUUAAGCAUAUCAAUAAGCGGAGGA